CCGCUGCUGGAUAACUGACUUGUUUAUCAGGGUACCAAUUACCAUUCCCAGCUCACAUCUUGUGUGGGCUUGGCAGGCAUCAGCUUCAAGCACCUAGAAGGCACUUCCUUCUCCAGAAUACCUUCAGGGAAAGAAGAACUCUGUCACAACUGGCUGAAGUUGGAAUUAGCUCCACUUCUGUCUGCAUUUCAAAAUAAGUGAAGACUAACUAGUCCAGGGGCCUCAGCGUCACCACAUAGUUUGGACGUCUGACUAGUUUCCUGACUUGAGAGUCUCUUACUUUAAACAUGACGGAUUGGCCCUGGAGAGGAAAGGAAAGACACACGCAAGAGUCUGCCUCUGGCUCGGCUAGCAGUCAUCCUCAGGAUGGCUCCUCCAGACAGGAUUUAAACAGAACUAUUUUGAUACAGACAGUGCUUAUGGUUGCUGUUCUGAGGGAAAGUAAUGGUGAGGCCAUGGAUCUACUUGGAGACUUGAAGUGGAGAAGACCAGUUCUGAGCAAGUUCUUGACUAUGUAGCUUCCAGGAAUUCCCUCUUCACUAGUAGUGAAGCAGUACUUGAGACUCAGAAACGCCUUGUGAGGCUAAUUCACCUCUAGGCUGUAUUUAAGUGGUUCUAUUUAUAUUCUGUUCAUGUGAGACAAACAAAUCUAAACCUCUUUUUCUAAAAGACAAACUUGCCGGAUCAUCAUGAGGACAGAAUCAAAGAAUUCUCAUGAAUCACUUCAUUUAAAAAUAACUACAGUUAUCCUUUGUUAGACUAAAAUUCUAGUCUGCAAUAACUUUAACUUUUUACAGAGUUGCCUCAAAAUUUAACAUUAAUUUUUAUAUACAUAUGCCCUCUAUAAAGCCUUCUUGCUGCUGAAUCUCUUCAAUAUUGUCCUGAGUAUGUCACUCAACAGAUCAAUUUCACCUACCAGCAGAGAUCUUACACUGAUUGCUUCUACCCCUUUAUAAUAUGCUGGACUGGCUUAAAAAUAGUUUCCUGAUCACUAUUGUGAGACUGGCGGCUGUUCUCUUCUGGAGAAGGAAUGGGCCCUUUCUGGUGUAACUCAGCUAAGAGAAGCCAAUGUAUGCAGCCUCCCAGAGUAAGAGGAACACCAGCUAUGAAUGUAGGCAAGAAUUUUUGGACGCACUACAUAGUCAUAAGUAAAAAUUUCAUAUUCAUGAAUAAAAAUUUCAGUAAAUAAUUUUAUGAUACCUGGAGGGAUCCUGAAGGCAAGAAUCGCCUCACUCCCACAAAGCAAGAACAGCCAGGGUAGUGCAGUGGUAGCAGUGAGGGAUCAUGCUUAGUCAUAGGCAACUCCACAACUAGUUAGGGUCAGAACGGGAGGGAUAAUGUUUCUUUUGCUUUCUUUUACAGCUUUAUAAAACAACUAGGGAGCCCAACCUUUUAGGAUGCUAACUAAGACUAGCCCAAAUUACUCUCUCUAAGAAACUUUUGCUUUGAACCACUUUGGGGCACCAACCUAGGUUAUUCUUGCUGGAAGGUAUUUUGUUGUCUAGAACAACACAUGCUUCUUUCUAGGAUGCCAUCAGGAAAGCUCAUUCAUGCCUUUUCCCACUACACUAUUAAGAUUUUUCUUUCCAGGAAAUUAAAAAAAAAAAAAAGAAUAAGCAACCAUUACUAACUGGCAGCCAACAAACUUCUUUUUAUUUUGUUUUAUUUUUGUGUUACCAGGAAUUGAACUCAGUACCUUGUGCUUGCCAGGCAGGCACAGUGCCACUGAACUAAAUCCUCAGCCCUAGAAACUUUUUAAAAUUGAAAAGCUACAUUGUUUAUCUUAAAAUUUCUAUUACUAUAAAAUUCAUGAGAGCACAAGGCCAUGCCUUACAUCUUUAUAUCACUACAAUGCCUAGUGUUAUUUAUGCACAUAAUUAGAGGUGAAUAAUGUGUGCUUUAAAUUUGCCCCUCCUCCAAUUAAGAGGCUUUUUCAUAGAGAAUAUCCGCCACAUAAAUGCAAAUGUGAUAGAAAAACAAUAAGGUUAGUUCUUCUUCCACAGGGUAGUAUGCAAGUCUGCUAUGCAGAUUGGCUUUCCUGUUCAUUUUGUAUUCUAAUUAAGGGAAGGAGAAAUGUAAAUAAUUGAACAACAACUUAUAAUUAAAAAGUUCAUCUGAAUUUGACUUUGAUUCUGGUGACUCCUAUGCCUCAAUAAUGACCAUGAUCAUUUCCAUUUACCUUUAACUGAAACCUCUGUCUGCUUGGUUUGGACCUAACUGGGAAGAGGACCCAUGACAAUGUUUUAGACUAAAUGGCAGAAUUCAGCAAGAAUAACCUUCUAGACAAAGGGCAGAGGUCCCAGAAGGUGCUAGACCUGAGAAUCAGGAACUACAGUCAAGGCUAUCUAUACCACUAUAUCACUUUUUAAUCCUCGGGAAAUGCUUUUUUCAUCUUCUUACCUAGAGCUUUUUCUUGAUAACUUAGAUGAAUGGCCUUAAUGUAUGAAUUUCCUGCUAGCACUGUAAUUGAAACUCAGAUAUAAAUAAAAUUAGGUGAACUUUGUAUUGUGGUGGUAUUAUGCCAAAUGUGGAAAGAGCUUAAGUAUGAAUAAUAAUAAUAGCUGAAAAUGGAUGAAGUAGUCAAAUUUAGAGAAUUAAAAUCUCAAAGCAAUCCAGGAGCAAAAGCGGUAAAAAAUAAACAUUUACAUGCUUUUAAUUCAAGAUUUUACCAUUGUUUCUUCCUACAGUUUAUUUAAACAUCUAUUUCAAAGUUACAAUAAUUUUGAGGAAAGUUCCCAGUUCACUUGAAUCUAUGCAAAUCUGAUCCUAGCCAUUUGAACUUGACAGGAUUCGGUGAUUUUUGAAAUUCAUAUUUCAGUUAUUCAAGUAAAUGAAUAGUGUCAUUUGGUUAUUUGAUGUGAUUUUUUAAAAAAGAUUGGUCUUUUGAGAAACUGCUUCUGGGUAUCAAUACUAAAAUGAAAACACUGGCUAAAAUCAUAAAAGCAGGAAAAUUAAUUUCAGGGCAUUUUAAGCCUCUCCCACUUCCUGGGCUCACAAGGCUUCAGAAGAUGAGAAUUGUUCUCUGAUGUCACUGUUCUCUGAAAGCUGAUCCAUUUAAAUCCAUAUGGUGGACAUCUUUGACUAACACACUGCUUACAUUUUUCAAUGUUUCAGAAAAUGGAAUUUUUCCCCUUUAAUCCUCAAAAACAAACUCAAAUAAAUUGUUUGACCCACCUGCAGUUUCCUUGGAGGAACAUAACUUUUUGAUUCAAUCCAUAAUUUCCUCAUAUUCUACAACCUACGUAUUAUCCCAUUUUACUUUUAAAUCCAAAUGAUUGUUACUGUCUUUGAUUCUCAGCUGGGACAAUAGAGGACAUUUUGUUUUUGUUGUUCUUAUUGCUAUAUAUCAUAAAAAUACAGGAAAGAAACUUAUUUCUUCAAUUCUCUGCUGUAAUCUACAACUUUGUUAAUUCAAUAAUGAGUCAAUAUGGUGCCAUAGAUAUUGAAAAUCCAGAAACUUUUAGAUUUUAUAAGCCUCCACCAAGGAGAAAAAUCUCUACCUGCUGAACAAUGAAAACCAUGGCAAGGAAACAGUAUGAGUUUUACUGGUCUCAGACAGAGGUGUCUGGAGGCAUGGCAGGCUAAAAGGAGAGAUUUGUGAUAGAAUUGCUGUUGGCUGAAGAAGCCCUGACACAGUGUCCAAGCAAAGGGUAGUCAACAGGCAGUUUGUGAACCAGACUUCUUUUGAUCUCUGUCUCUUCCCCAUACAGUUACAAUCUGGUAUUUCCAUGAUAGCAUUGCUUCCUUCAAUUCAACUUCCAGCUCAGCUUCCAUCCUAUGCCAACACCUUUUACUCUUUGCAAGUAUCUUUCUUACCCAUACACGUCAUGUACAAAGGACACAAACCAUUACAGUAUUUUUAGACUGAAAACAAGAUCCAGUUGUAUGAAUAUAUAAUGUUACCAUGUGUUAAUGAAUUCUUGGUUCAUGCUCUGUUCAUCCAUGAAGAUGGAAUAUUUGCACUCAAGCUAUUUGCUACACAUCAUGUGAGACCUGAUCAUGCCUCAUACAAUCUGUGAAGCCUCUGACAUACAUGGCCCUUUACUAUAGUCAGGCUACCAACUCAACGUCAAGGAGCUGAAACUGUUCCUAAAAAUAGCUUUUUCUCAUUUCCAUUCUCAAGUAGGUGAUCAAAACAAGAGAGGUGGUAGCACGCAUACUGACCGAAUAAGUGUCAAAAAAGGAUGGGCAGAGCUGGAAACUGCCUCAUGUGCUGACAUAAUUAUUCCCAUAAAACCCUCUUACAUCCAGAUUUUUAUUUUUAACAAAUUAUGGAAUACCUACAUAUAACAACUCAAAAAGAUCACAUUUAUGUCAAUAAAACAUGACUAUACCUUCAAAUACUUCCUUUUAGCAUCACUCACUGUUCAAAUCUAUGGGCCCCCAGUAAAUUCUGAGUAAAGAGUUUUGGACUGAGUAUGUGCACAUCCAUAAAGGUUACAUUGGUUUUUAUAUAUACUUACUCUCUGUCUGACUCUGCCACUGUCGCUUAAGAAACAUUAUGUUGAAAUGAAAUGAUGUUUUAUGGGGUGAGUCCUCUUAUGAAAGGGUAGCCUUGUUUUGAUGUAAGUAGACUCAGCAUAACCUGAACAUUGGUUAGCAAAGUUUGUGUUGAAUAUUGUUCACAUUCAAUGUUGGGAAGAAUAUUUCCUCAUAGAACAUGAUUUAUUUUGAUCUCUAGUCAUUUUAUUCCCAGGUCCUGUUCUGUUUUAUGUGUUAAAAAUUCCCAGCUUAAAUAGUAAAUCUAACAAUUACUGAUUGUGUCAUAUAAAUAGAGAUGUUUAAGGUUAUAGAGUUCCUUAAUGUUUUAAUAAUACUGAAAUACUUUGGAUGAGUUUGCUUUGCUUCUCAAAAAAGUGUAAUAAGGCCAACUCUACAUUUAAAAGAGGAAAUGAUUCAAGUUUUAGUGCCAGAUGCCCUCCAAUGAGAAUUUAAGAACAAGGCUCUCUUCUGUGACUUAGAUAAUGAUGAGAAUCCUUCAGUAAAUUUCCAAGACUACUUCUCCUAGAGACUCAAUUAGGUAAACCCCAUAUUAAAUGCCAAAGGUGUGCAAGGUAGGAUGUGAAUUCCUUAAAAGUCAUACUGGAUAAAAAUCUUUAAAAUGUCUCUCUACCCUGAAAGAGCUUACAGCAAAGUUGAGGACAAAAAUUGAAUCAUGAUUUCUACAGUUUGGAUGUGGUUUGUCCUCCAAGGGCUCAUGUUCAGGAAUUUGGCCCCCAGUGUAAUGGUAUGAGAGGUGGUGAAACCUGUAAGAAGUGAUGCCUUCUAAAUGAUGACUAGGUCACUGGAAUGUCCCCUCAGAGGGGAUUAAUGUAGUUAUCCUGGAGGGACCCCAGGACCUCAAUUAAUUUCCACAAAAGUAGGUUGUUAUAAAAAGAGCAAGACUAGCUAUUGACCCUAGUCUCUGCCUUCCUGUCUAGCUAUGUGAUCUCCUGCUCACCAGAGCCACAGAAGCAAGUACAAUGCUUUGAGAGAUCCAGAACAAAUUUACCCAGCCUCAGGUAUCUUGUUAUAGCAAUGGAAAAUUUACUCGUACAAGCUUUUAAUCAAGCUAAAUAAAAAUAUACUAUUUCAAUAACAGAUCUAAAUAAAGAAGUAGUGGCUCUCACAGGCUGUCCAUGGUUAAUUGCCAAGGGAGUUUUAUAUGCAGGAAGUGCUUAGACCUUGGAGGGUAAGUUUCAGAAGGCAUUUUUUAAGACUGGCAGAAUGUAGAGACACAAAACAAACCCACCCAGAUCCCUAUAGAUUUUGAGGUCAGGCAGGUAUGAGUUCAGCCCCACCUCAGAUGAUCUGGGGCAAGUCCCUUUUCAGCUACUCAGAAUAAAAUAGAAAUAAUAAACUUAGCCCUUUGAGUUUUUCUGACCGGUAGAUAAAAGCUAUCUAACGCUAUUCUUAGUAGAGAGUCACAGAUAAAUUAGCAUUUAUUAUAUAUCAUAUUAGUUACUGAUUUGCCUUUAACUUUAUUGUCUGUUUAUUCUAGUCAAAAAGUAAACUUCUGGAGGGUAGAGAUCUAGUAUUAAUUUCCCACUGUAUCUAUAGUAUCUAUAUUAUUAUCUGGCACACAAUAAAUACCAAGUGCAUAUAUUUGCAAUGAAAAAAAUCAAUGAAUAAUUAAUUUAAUGUCAAAAGGUACCGUAGUCAUAUUAUUGGCCAACAGUGUAUUUUUCUUAUUUCUUCCUAUCUCUCUCCAUUUUCUUCAACCUUGUAAAAAAACAAAAGAUAUUGUAACCAAUAGGCUAAGUUCCAAAUAAAUGAGAUCAUUUGAAGCUUUAAAGUUGUCCUUAUGAGUUAUGGCCACUAGAACUUGAACUAUUUGCCUUGAGCAGAGUAGAAAAUGUAAUGGGGAAAAAGCUUGUCUUCCCAUUUAUUUCUCUCCUGUCCUCUCAUUCCUGUUAGCCUCUGGUCAUGCCUGGGCCCUUUGUGUUCUUCUCACCCAUCGGUAUCUAAAAACAAACUUAAUUAAUUAAUUAAAACAACAACAACAACAACUUUAGACAAAUUGUGGGGAGGAAAAAAUGUUUUUCCAGACAGACCUUCUAACUCCUAUGGACAGCAGGUUAGAAUGAUGCCUUCCCCUUUCUCUAGCCCACCUCAAUUCCCUAUUUCUCAGGCCAGGAACAGUGAGUUAGCCAACAACACAUGCCAAGUGAAGCAUAGGGAUUAGUAGGUACUGUGUUUUCCAUGACACCAGGUCAAGUGACAAAGGCUUUCUGCUGUGAAGUCAUUUGUCAUUAUGCAAAAGCCCCUAUCAUUUCCAUCAGGGACAGGCUUAUUUUGAUCUAAUUUUCUGUUCCAUGACAAUUUUGUCAUCUAAACUAAACUUGGUUUGUUUUAAGAAUGUGGACCUGAGUUUACGUCACUAACCCUGGGAGGGAAGGCUCAACAACUAACAUUUUAUCAUCUCCUGUUGGUAUGUGAUCAGCUAAAAAAUCUCAUAAAGUCUUAUUUGCAGGAAGUGGUCUCUUUUAUAGCUUCCCAUUUGGUAGUAUGUUUGUUACUAAUGAAGAGGGGCGGUAAAGAAAGUCACAAAAUGUCAACUCUGAAGUAUCCUCCCAGAUUGCAGAUUGUUGACAGUUCGUUGUAUUCUUCACAUGUGACACAAAGCUCUGAUCCAUGGUCACUUUUCACCCCUCAGAUUAAACCUUGUCCCUAGACCUGCAAAGUCCAUUAUUGCCAAAGAAAAGCCAGAAUUACUGAAUGUUUUCCUUUCUUUUGACUUAUAAUGUACGUCAUCAACCACGUAAAAGAAAAGAGCAAUGUGCAAAGUAUUGUCUGGGGUUUCUCACUCCUUCUAAGAUAUUUUCAUAGUGAGUUGUCAGUUUAAAAAUUGUUUCAUCAGAGGAUUUUGAUGUUCUUAUGUGAGAUGUUCCAGAGCUUCAAAUAAAUAAAAUCCAAAUAUCUCAAGAACAUCUUGUGGGAAGGUUGGUUAGAAAACUUAGUUGUUUUUGUUUUAAAUGUGAAAA
This is a long non-coding RNA of Heterocephalus glaber (naked mole-rat), 7463 nucleotides long. Lineage: Eukaryota; Metazoa; Chordata; Mammalia; Rodentia; Bathyergidae. The record is from Ensembl.